GUCUUUCGUCAUUACCUUCUCGUUUGGUAUGGGUGCCAUUCCAUGGCUCAUGAUGUCUGAGGAGGAUGUUCGUGGCCGCAUAACGGCAAGAGACGGGUACACAGGAUGCCUAGGCGGCUGCGACGCAGGGAGGCCGCGAAGGACGCCACACGGGGGCUGCGGCAUGAGCUCGACGCCGAGCGGGCCUCCGCGGAGACAGUAGCCAGAUCUGGCCAUUGAGUGCCCUGACGCCGCUGCUUACUCAUCCAUCGCCGCGGUGACCUGCUCCCCCUCGGGCAUAUCUGUCCAUUGACACCAAGCAUGUUCUUACCUGAACUGUUCUAAAAGUUCAGUUUCAUGGUUGUUUAUUCUUUUGAUCAGGAAGGAGAGAAAGGGAGAAUCAGUUAGAAGAAAGAAGAGUCCGAAAGCUGAGUAAUUUACCUCAACUUUACUGCCCAUGUUAUUAAGAUCUAUUGAUGAUCGUCCCACUUACUCCUAGGAUGCACAGACUUAAUGGAUCCUAGACUAACAUAUUUAUCACGGGUUUUGGGUUGUCUUCCUUCCCAGUUUUGUUUUACCAGUGGAGACACGGAGAUUGGAGGACAGAAGGGCGCAGCACAGGACUACAGCGAGGUGGGAAGGCCAGAUCAAGCAGGAGACAACAAGAGGAUGUGAUAGAUGGUGAUCUCUGCGAGCAGUAUCCCUCCCUCCUAGCUGAUAUGCAGAGGAAGAUUGCUAAUGAGCUGGACAGAACUCCGACGCCUGCAGCACUGCUUGGUGAGGAUUGCCAAGGAGGAAGACUAGAACAGGCAAGAGCAGCGCUAAUCAGUGACAGAGCAUGAUGCCAUCCAGAUGGGACAAGAUAAGUAAGCAGUCUUAUAUAGUUUGCCCACUCGAGUUUUGUAUAUAUUGACAUAAAUGAAUUAUGCAAAUGUUGCUAGAGUUCUUUUAGGUUGAAGCUUUUGCUUAGUUCAGUGUUGCUAUCGGAAAGCUAAAAUUAUUUUCUUGCCACCUCCUCUGCAUUGUUUUACUGCUUCAGCUCCUGGUGCUUCUAAUCGAGUACUAUAGAAAGCAUCUCU
This is a long non-coding RNA of Zea mays, 1058 nucleotides long. RefSeq lists it as uncharacterized. The record is from RefSeq and is a predicted model, not a curated record. Lineage: Eukaryota; Viridiplantae; Streptophyta; Magnoliopsida; Poales; Poaceae. The transcript is spliced from 3 exons.